This 43-nucleotide small RNA is filed under the name Arabidopsis thaliana (thale cress). Its description in RNAcentral is "ATSL070370". The record is from RNAcentral. Lineage: Eukaryota; Viridiplantae; Streptophyta; Magnoliopsida; Brassicales; Brassicaceae.
UGUCUGAUGCAAUCGGACGGCUCAAAUCUGAUUGUGGAAUGGC